Molecule: long non-coding RNA, 612 nt
Organism: Anopheles bellator
Lineage: Eukaryota; Metazoa; Arthropoda; Insecta; Diptera; Culicidae
Exons: 3
Source: RefSeq, a predicted model, not a curated record
UCUGUUUAUUAAAGUGCAAAGUGGACGAUUUUGUAAAAGCGCUGAAAUAAACGAUUGCAGUUAAAAUGGAGUCUUUGGCAUUGAUUAAGAAAGAGGAUGCUGUUGAAAGCGCAAGAAUAUGUCGAUGGUGCCUGUCGCACUGUGAUGCUUUGAAUCUUCUAUCGAACGACAAAUCAGGACAAUAUAAACUUCAAAAAAUUUUCCAUUUCACCGGUCUUCAGAUUAAUUUCUUACCUGUAGUUCCAUCGUAUUUGUGCACGACGUGUGAAGCGCGCUUGAAAAAGAUGGAUCGGUUUCGCUGGCAAUGCAAUGAAAAGAAUGAUUUGGUCGAUAAAUUGAUCGAACAGCAAAAUAUAGCAAAGUACGAAUCAGAAAUCACUCAAGACCAUCUUGAUUACUCUGCCGAACAAAUGGUUUUCACAGAAUUGUCAAUUAAAACCGAAGUUUCCUCGCCGGAUACAGCGAAGGAUUUGCACUUGAAUCAGAAGAGUGGUACUGUUCAUCAAGCGAACAGGACAAAUGAAUGUGGCAAUUCACCUGAUGAUUUAUUCGAUGCAGAUGAAAACCCAAUUACAAUCAAGUUAGAGUAUGAAGAGGUCGAUGAGCUGCAUC